Molecule: ribosomal RNA, 452 nt
Filed under: uncultured organism
Description: partial 16S ribosomal RNA
Rfam family: Bacterial small subunit ribosomal RNA
Source: RNAcentral
UACACUCCUGCGGGAGGCAGCAGUGGGGAAUAUUGGACAAUGGGCGCAAGCCUGAUCCAGCCAUGCCGCGUGAGUGAUGAAGGCCCUAGGGUUGUAAAGCUCUUUCACCGGUGAAGAUAAUGACGGUAACCGGAGAAGAAGCCCCGGCUAACUUCGUGCCAGCAGCCGCGGUAAUACGAAGGGGGCUAGCGUUGUUCGGAUUUACUGGGCGUAAAGCGCACGUAGGCGGACUAUUAAGUCAGGGGUGAAAUCCCGGGGCUCAACCCCGGAACUGCCUUUGAUACUGGUAGUCUUGAGUUCGAGAGAGGUGAGUGGAAUUCCGAGUGUAGAGGUGAAAUUCGUAGAUAUUCGGAGGAACACCAGUGGCGAAGGCGGCUCACUGGCUCGAUACUGACGCUGAGGUGCGAAAGCGUGGGGAGCAAACAGGAUUAGAAACCCCUGUAGUCCCAUGA